GCGCUGGAGACUGCCGGACGGUAGUUUCCGUCCGAACAGCCGGACCCGAAGACCCCUCGCAGUGCCGGACGCUCUCCACGUGCAAUCGCCCGUGACCCCACGACCUUCCCUCAUCUCCACUCUGAUGGUGGCGGCGCCCAGACAGGAUCAGCGGCGGCGCCCCAUCCCGUCCUCGACUCCAUCGGUGACGGUGCCCAGCCAACAUCAGCAGCGACGCUCACCUUCCUCGACUCCAUCAGCGACGGUGCCGAGCCAGCAUCAGCAGGGCCCCUCCGUGCCCCCUUCUCAUCGGCGCAUGGUCAUCCCAUCGAUCAAUCCAUCCGAAUAGGAGGCUUAUCAUUGCAGAUUGCAGAUCUGGUUGAUUUUAUUGAUCUUGUUGCUAUCACAUUUCUAAUUUUCUACUUAAAUCAAAUCAUCUUCUCUUGGAUACAAGGCAUUCUCUCAUUGUCUCUUGCGGCGAUCUUUGCUUCUCUGCACUUGUUGUCGACGGUCACAUGGAAUUAAAAAGAGUAUUUCUAGAUAUGUUUCAAAGAAGUGUAUGUUUAGAUACUAAAAAAAGUGUAUGUUAGAUACUUUUUGAAAGAAGAGUAUGUUUAGAUAC
This is a long non-coding RNA of Sorghum bicolor (sorghum), 601 nucleotides long. RefSeq lists it as uncharacterized. The transcript has 2 exons. NCBI's taxonomy places the organism in Eukaryota, Viridiplantae, Streptophyta, Magnoliopsida, Poales, Poaceae. The record is from RefSeq and is a predicted model, not a curated record.